CCGAGUUAGGGUCUCUCGUAGGCCCGACCUCCCAACCCUGUGUCUACCAAACCAAUUUGUUGCUUCGGCGGACCGGUCGUUAUCGACCGCCGGAGGGUGCACAACCCUCCCUCUGGAGAGCGCCCGUCGACGGCCUAAUCCAAAAAAACUCUUGUACUUAAACGUGUCGUCUGAAUCUAGUUUGUACAAUUACAAAAUCAAA
Molecule: unclassified non-coding RNA, 202 nt
Filed under: uncultured fungus
Lineage: Eukaryota; Fungi
Description: sequence contains ITS1
Source: RNAcentral